RNAcentral lists this ribosomal RNA (440 nucleotides) under uncultured bacterium. Its description in RNAcentral is "partial 16S ribosomal RNA". It matches the Rfam family "Bacterial small subunit ribosomal RNA", at positions 338 to 795 of the family's 1533-position model. The record is from RNAcentral.
CCUACGGGAGGCUGCAGUGGGGGAUAUUGCACAAUGGGGGGAACCCUGAUGCAGCGACGCCGCGUGGGUGAAGAAGCGCCUCGGCGCGUAAAGCCCUGUCAGCAGGGAAGAAAAUGACGGUACCUGAAGAAGAAGCCCCGGCUAACUACGUGCCAGCAGCCGCGGGAAUACGUAGGGGGCAAGCGUUAUCCGGAUUUACUGGGUGUAAAGGGGGCGCAGACGGCGAUGCAAGCCAGGAGUGAAAGCCCGGGGCCCAACCCCGGGACUGCUCUUGGAACUGGGUGGCUGGAGUGCAGGAGGGGCAGGCGGAAUUCCUGGUGUAGCGGUGAAAUGCGUAGAUAUCAGGAGGAACACCGGUGACGAAGGCGGCCUGCUGGACUGCAACUGACGUUGAGGCCCGAAAGCGUGGGGAGCAAACAGGAUUAGAUACCCGGGUAGUC